CCUACGGGGGGCUGCAGUAAGGAAUCUUCCGCAAUGCGCGAAAGCGUGACGGGGCAAUGCCGCGUGCAGGAUGAAGCCCUUCGGGGUGUAAACUGCUGUCAGGGGGCAGGAAUACAAUGACCAUACCCAAAGGAAGCACCGGCUAACUCUGUGCCAGCAGCCGCGGUAAUACAGAGGGUGCGAGCGUUAAUCGGAAUCACUGGGCUUAAAGCGUUCGUAGGCGGAUCUGUAGGCGCGUUGUGAAAGCCCUCGGCUCAACCGGGGAACUGCUUCGCGAACCACAGAUCUUGAGUCAAGUAGGGGCGGUCGGAACGAUAGGUGGAGCGGUGAAAUGCGUAGAUAUCUAUCGGAACGCCGACGGUGAAGACAGGCCGCUGGGCUUGUACUGACGCUGAGGAACGAAAGCGUGGGGAGCAAACGGGAUUAGAUACCCCUGUAGUC
RNAcentral lists this ribosomal RNA (441 nucleotides) under uncultured Phycisphaera sp. RNAcentral's name for it is "bacterial SSU rRNA". It matches the Rfam family "Bacterial small subunit ribosomal RNA", at positions 338 to 795 of the family's 1533-position model. The record is from RNAcentral. Lineage: Bacteria; Pseudomonadati; Planctomycetota; Phycisphaerae; Phycisphaerales; Phycisphaeraceae.